Molecule: non-coding RNA, 657 nt
Organism: Lolium perenne
Lineage: Eukaryota; Viridiplantae; Streptophyta; Magnoliopsida; Poales; Poaceae
Source: RefSeq, a predicted model, not a curated record
GUCCACAUGGCAUGCACAAAAGUGAUUUGAGAUGGUUCUAUAUCCAAUGCUACCCCCUCCGGGUGUGCCCGGCUUCUCGGACAUGGGGUUCCUACACUUAGGCAGAUUCUGCGUGUAUAGGGGGGAACUCCCUCGGAGGUGAACCGGAGAGAACCUUGGGAUCAUAGGGGAUGGUACUUGUUUCCACAUGUACCUAUGACCUAACCAAGCUCAAACGCAGGCAUACGCCCACCGGGGGAACCCCGAUGGGACGCAGUCAAAGGGGUAGACGGCGCGGUCAACAGAACUAGGGUUUCGUCAGAAAUCGAGCAUCGCACGUAGGGAAUGGCCCCAAAAGUUGUGUGUGUCCACAUGGCAUGCACAAAAGUGAUUUGAGAUGGUUCUAUAUCCAAUGCUACCCCCUCCGGGUGUGCCCGGCUUCUCGGACAUGGGGUUCCUACACUUAGGCAGAUUCUGCGUGUAUAGGGGGGAACUCCCUCGGAGGUGAACCGGAGAGAACCUUGGGAUCAUAGGGUAUGGUACUUGUUUCCACAUGUACCUAUGACCUAACCAAGCUCAAACGCAGGCAUACGCCCACCGGGGGAACCCCGAUGGGACGCAGUCAAAGGGGUAGACGGCGCGGUCAACAGAACUAGGGUUUCGUCAGAAAUCGAGCAU